Molecule: ribosomal RNA, 484 nt
Filed under: Cronobacter sakazakii
Lineage: Bacteria; Pseudomonadati; Pseudomonadota; Gammaproteobacteria; Enterobacterales; Enterobacteriaceae
Also listed under: 1 other name
Description: partial 23S ribosomal RNA
Rfam family: Bacterial large subunit ribosomal RNA
Source: RNAcentral
AGACCCGAAACCCGGUGAUCUAGCCAUGGGCAGGUUGAAGGUUGGGUAACACUAACUGGAGGACCGAACCGACUAAUGUUGAAAAAUUAGCGGAUGACCUGUGGCUGGGGGUGAAAGGCCAAUCAAACCGGGAGAUAGCUGGUUCUCCCCGAAAGCUAUUUAGGUAGCGCCUCGUGAACUCAUCUCCGGGGGUAGAGCACUGUUUCGGCUAGGGGGCCAUCCCGGCUUACCAACCCGAUGCAAACUGCGAAUACCGGAGAAUGUUAUCACGGGAGACACACGGCGGGUGCUAACGUCCGUCGUGAAGAGGGAAACAACCCAGACCGCCAGCUAAGGUCCCAAAGUCAUGGUUAAGUGGGAAACGAUGUGGGAAGGCCCAGACAGCCAGGAUGUUGGCUUAGAAGCAGCCAUCAUUUAAAGAAAGCGUAAUAGCUCACUGGUCGAGUCGGCCUGCGCGGAAGAUGUAACGGGGCUAAACCAUGCA